CCAAUAGCGUAUAUUAAAGUUGUUGCAGUUAAAAAGCUCGUAGUUGAAUUUCGAGACCGGUUUACUGGUCGUGCUUUUGUACGUACUGGUAUAAUCGGUUUCUCUCUUCUGACGAACUAUAAUGCCAUUAAUUUGGUGUUUUAGGGAAUCAGGACUGUUACUUUGAAAAAAUUAGAGUGUUUAAAGCAGGCUCACGCUUGAAUACAUUAGCAUGGAAUAA
This 220-nucleotide ribosomal RNA is filed under the name uncultured Glomus. Its description in RNAcentral is "partial small subunit ribosomal RNA". It matches the Rfam family "Eukaryotic small subunit ribosomal RNA", at positions 591 to 817 of the family's 1831-position model. The record is from RNAcentral. Lineage: Eukaryota; Fungi; Glomeromycota; Glomeromycetes; Glomerales; Glomeraceae.